AGUGAACGCUGGCGGUAGGCCUAACACAUGCAAGUCGAACGGCAGCACAGUAAGAGCUUGCUCUUACGGGUGGCGAGUGGCGGACGGGUGAGGAAUACAUCGGAAUCUACUUUUUCGUGGGGGAUAACGUAGGGAAACUUACGCUAAUACCGCAUACGACCUACGGGUGAAAGCAGGGGAUCUUCGGACCUUGCGCGAUUGAAUGAGCCGAUGUCGGAUUAGCUAGUUGGCGGGGUAAAGGCCCACCAAGGCGACGAUCCGUAGCUGGUCUGAGAGGAGGAGCGGGGAGACGGGAACUGGGGCACGGUCCAGACGCCUACGGGAGGGAGCAGUGGGGAAUAUUGGACAAUGGGCGCAAGCCUGAUCCAGCCAUACCGCGUGGGUGAAGAAGGCCUUCGGGUUGUAAAGCCCUUUUGUUGGGAAAGAAAAGCAGCAGGUUAAUACCCCGCUGUUCUGACGGUACCCAAAGAAUAAGCACCGGCUAACUUCGUG
This 492-nucleotide ribosomal RNA is filed under the name uncultured bacterium. Its description in RNAcentral is "partial 16S ribosomal RNA". It matches the Rfam family "Bacterial small subunit ribosomal RNA", at positions 29 to 507 of the family's 1533-position model. The record is from RNAcentral.